CCUACGGGAGGCAGCAGUGGGGAAUAUUCCGCAAUGGGCGAAAGCCUGACGCAGCGACGCCGCGUGAGGGAUGAAGGUCUUCGGAUCGUAAACCUCUGUCAGCAGGGAAGAACGGUCACUGUGCUAAUCAGCAGUGAAUUGACGGUACCUGCAAAGGAAGCACCGGCUAACUCCGUGCCAGCAGCCGCGGUAAUACGUAGGGUGCGAGCGUUAAUCGGAAUUACUGGGCGUAAAGCGCUCGUAGGCGGUAUGUCAAGUCAAGGGUGAAAUCCCCGGGCUCAACGUGGGAACUGCCUUUGAAACUGGCAAACUGGAGUGUGUGAGAGGAUAGUGGAAUUCCAGGUGUAGGAGUGAAAUGCGUAGAUAUCUGGAGGAACAUCAGUGGCGAAGGCGACUAUCUGGCACAUAACUGACGCUGAGGAGCGAAAGCGUGGGUAGCAAACAGGAUUAGAUACCCCGGUAGUC
RNAcentral lists this ribosomal RNA (465 nucleotides) under uncultured bacterium. RNAcentral's name for it is "partial 16S ribosomal RNA". It matches the Rfam family "Bacterial small subunit ribosomal RNA", at positions 338 to 795 of the family's 1533-position model. The record is from RNAcentral.